ACACCGUUAGCUCAGUUGGUAGAGCAUCUGAUUCCAAAUCAGAGGGUCGGGAGUUCGAGUCUCUCACGGUGUG
RNAcentral lists this transfer RNA (73 nucleotides) under Deltaproteobacteria bacterium. RNAcentral describes it as "tRNA-Trp". It matches the Rfam family "tRNA". Rfam says of the family: Transfer RNA (tRNA) molecules are approximately 80 nucleotides in length. Their secondary structure includes four short double-helical elements and three loops (D, anti-codon, and T loops). Lineage: Bacteria; Pseudomonadati; Myxococcota; Myxococcia. The record is from RNAcentral.